This 4210-nucleotide long non-coding RNA is filed under the name Sus scrofa (pig). RNAcentral describes it as "lncRNA (ENSSSCG00040038718.1)". Lineage: Eukaryota; Metazoa; Chordata; Mammalia; Artiodactyla; Suidae. The record is from RNAcentral.
GAGUGAUCACAGUUUUUGAAAAUCCUGAUGAGGCAUUAAAGAGGAGGAGGAGUGUCCCAAGGGAGGUGAGCUGGAGGCAAAGCAAGUGACUACACCUCUGGAAAAGAGGAAGAACUGAUAAGACUGUCCUAGAAAUCAAGGGCUAAGAAAAGCAACUGUGUUGGGUGGUCAGCCCCAUCUGAGAGGCAGUGAUAACAAAUCUCCCCUCCAUGGAAGAUGUGUGAUGCUUAACCUUCUCUGAAGGACUGCAUUUGGAAACAUGUUCAUACAGUCUUUCUGGAGCUCAGUGAUACCAGUUCACCCAAGAAGACUCAGAAGUUAAACACAGAGGCAUGGCAGGUGAUUGUUAGGGAAUAUCCAGCCCUUCUCAACAGUGAGCUGACUCAGUGACUCCACCUCUGGAAAAGAGGAAGAACUGCUAAGAACUAUAAGAGACAGACAUCACACUACCUCAAAAAGGAUGACAUUACUGCUUUACUGUAGAGGAACCACACAACUUACAUAGAAGGUCCGCCCAGGCAGCUUCCAUAUUCUGUAGACUGAGAUGGAAAAGAGCCCACACACAUACCAUGGAGUCUGUCAGUAUCACUGGGCACCCAAUGGGAAAUAGUUCUGCCCUCCUUGCUCUUUUAUAGAAUAGAGAACUACGACUCAGGAAGAACUCUGGGAAGGUAUUGGACCAACUCUUUUGCCCACAAACAUGAUCCGAAAGCCAGAAUUUAAUAAGCUCCAGAGGAAGGAGAUUCUUGGGUUGCGUGGCACAGUAUCUUUGGAGGCAGGCUGCCUGGGCUUGUGUCCAAGGUCAGUCACUCACCAGCAGUAUGGCCUUGCAUAAUACUUCAACCCCGCCUUGCUUCUGUGUUUUCAUCUAUAAAGUAAGGGCAAUAAUAACAAUGGUUGUUGCAAAGAUUAAACAAACUAAAACGUGUAAACUACUUUGAACAGCAACAUGCACAUAGGAAAAGAGCCCAUGACUGUAGGUCAUCAAUUGUUAUUGUUACUAGUGCUUCUUUACCUCUGUUGAUUUUCGUUUCAAGAAGAUUUUCAUUUUUAACUUCUUUUUGCUGAAAUUUCAGGAUGUUUUCUCUUUUUAUCAGCUCAUAGGAAAUGGGGAUGAUGGAUCAUAGCAUCAUAGAGGGUGAGAAAGGGAAGGGACCCCAGGCUGUAUCAGUGCUGGCUUCCACGCCUUGUGAUUGAGCACGGGGUGGGGGCGGGGGGGGGGAAUGAUGGGCUCAGGUUCUCAAAUGGCAAAAGUAGGUUUUGAAUGCAUGUUCCAGUUUAGUGGGUUUCCUUUCCAUUGUAUAAUAACUCUUCACAGGCUGCAAUUCAACACUGUUUAAUUUCUCCAAGACAUACUCAGGUUUUCAAGAACAAGCCUGGCCAGUGACCCUGUGGGAAGAGCUGACCAGUGUUGAGAAUAAUAACAUUGUCAUUAUAAUCUUACAGCACCUCAUUAGUUUUCUUUUUCUUAACAGCACUUUCAUAUUGUUGACUUGCAUUUAUUUCGAAAAAGAAAGGAAGGGAAAUUUUAUCUCUGAACAGAAGGCAGGCUCUGGCUAUUAAUGUGUCCACUCCUCGGCAAACAGGAUCAGAGAAACUGCUUCAGGGACAAGGGGCAGGGAGGAAAGAGCAGGGUCCCUAAUGAGUGGGGUUUACUUAGGUCGAGAUGAGACAGUGGGAGACUAGGCUUUCUUCUUUAUACUGAAUACCUGCUAUGCGAUGGUAUGGAGCGAGCCUCCUACAAGAAUACAAAAGGACCCAGGACAAGAUUUGAGUUUUCAAGGAAUUUCUUUAGAAAAAGAUAGAAAGCAAGGGUGGAACUGUAGUGAAUCCUUUGGAGUCCUUCGAGGGCUCUGUGCUCCCACAGCAUCCUACGACACGAGACUUCAUAUUCUUCCAGUGGCAAGUGUGUGCUAUAAGGGGCUCAGCUUGGCUAGGAGAUUUUCCAGCUGACCAGAGGGGAGAGUAGCAUAGCAGGCAUGUGGACUGAAAAUACAUGGGUAAUAGGGCAACCAGGUGUCGGGGUGUGGUGGGAGGUGCUCAUGACCCGGGGUUGGGAGCUCUAUUCUCUUUGGGCUUUGCCCUCAGUUGGAUGUGGGCUGGAGAGAAAGUCAAUUUCGCCAUUCCUCAGUUUCUCCAUCUUCAAUGGAAGAGGAUGAACCCGGCAGUGAUUGAAGUUUCUCACUGUUCCAACACUCUGUGUGUUGAGGGGGCAGGUAGAGGUAGGGUUGUGAGGCUGAGAAAGAAAUCCUUCACGUGAAAAACAACAACAGUGAUGGUUUGGAUGCUGAGAAAUGGACAAGCUGUCAACUCAGAGGUUUUUUGUUUUUUUGUUUUUUUUAAUGGCUGCACCUGCAGCAUAUGGAAGGUCCCGGGCCAGGGAUCAAACCCCAAACCCCAGCAAUGCCAGAUCCUUUAACCUGCUGUGCUGGGCCAGGGGUCAAGCCCCAGCCUCGGCAGCAGCCCAGGCCUCUGCAGUUGGAUUCUUAACCCACUGCCCACACUGGGAACUCCUGGAGAUUUUUUAAGUUGAUUCUUAUUACAGAGGAGUGUUAUUGCCACCUCUCUGAUUUCAACUUGCAGUGCCAGUAAUAUUGGAUCCUUUGUGGUUCUUUGUGUCCUUAUUUAUACACAUGAUGCAUGAAACCAUUCUUCUCCUCUUAAGGCAGUUGAGGUAGUUAAUCUCCCAUCAAUCACUCAUGAUUAUAACAUGUGCUCUGCAGAUACUGUUGAAGUCUUUAUGCAUGAGGAGGACUUUGAUGUGAUAGAACUUCUGACAACUCAGACUCAGGCUGGUUUUUUUUUUUGUUUGUUUGUUUUUUUUGGUCUUGCCCCUGUGGAUGGAUGCUGACUUUCCUUCUCAAGAAAUAUUGCUGGAGUUCCAGUGGUGGCGCAGUGGUUGCGCAGUGGUUAACGAAUCUGACUGGGAACCAUGAGGUUGCAGGUUCAAUCCCUGGCCUUGCUCAGUGGGUUAACGAUCCGGCGUUGCCGUGAGCUGUGGUGUAGGUCGCAGACGCGGCUCGGAUCCUGCGCUGCUGUGGCUCUGGCGUAGGCCAGCGGCUAUAGCUGCGAUUCGACCCCUAGCCUGGGAACUUCCAUAUGCCGCAGGAGCGGCCCAAGAAAUGGCAAAAAGACAAAAAAAAAAAAAAAGAAAAAGAAAUAUUGCUCACUUCUGUCAGGUGACAAAUGAAGAUGGAAACCAACUCUGGGUCCUAUCUUGGGCCCCAUGAUCCUAGCUCACAAGAGUCCUGGAGGGAGAAUUGCUAAACCUCCCCUGCUUUCUCCACAUCCUUCAGGUUAUCUGGGGCUGGCGCCCUGGGGAUGAGGGAAAAGAAAGCCACUGAGGUUAACACAUUGUAUUUCAGCUUCCCUGUCUAUUGGGACAGCUUUGGGGAGGCGUGUUGGGCAUGUGGAGAUGAGGCUGCCGUUUCUCUCCUGGGGCUGCUGGGGUAGGGUAGAGUCAUCCUUGGGGCCAGUGAGAGAAAUGCUUCAUCCAAUUUGUAUGCCCUCCUUUUACAGUUGGGAAGACACACUCAUUGAUCCGUAGAAUGUGGUCACCGAAGGAGGCAGAAAAGGCAAAAGGCUCAAUGUCCCCUGCCCCGUAUUCCAUCUGUUAGUAAUCCAGUUCUGCCAUUUUCCUUUUCAUGUUCUAAAUUUGGACCUUUUCGGGAGAGCUUCCUCCCCAUUCAUGCUAAUUCAUGGAAUUCCAUCAGUUGGUUUUGAAAAGUGUAAGUCUGAACUAUUGCCAAAACAGCUUGCAGCAAGAGAAGAAGAAAACAACUAUUGCCUAUUUCUCCAAGCUACAGAAAGUCUGGUAUUAUUAUAUGUUAUAAACUGGACAUGAAAAUAUUAUUUCUAACAGAAAAGUCUCAGACGCUGAAUAUACUCUUCCUGCUCAUCUAAGGCCUUUGCUGAAACAGGACUUUCUCCUUGUAGCCUUUCUUGACCACCUGAUUUAAAAUUAUUACCUCCCAUAGUCCCCUGAUAACAUAUUUUCUCUCUCUGCAAGUCUUCUCAUGGCAAUUAUCACCAUCUAACACAUAUUUUACUUAUUUUAGUCUGUAUUUAUUUUCACUAAAAUAAACUCAUGAGCUUCCAUAUUCCCAGUAUGUCUAGAAAAGUACCUGGCACACAGUAGCUACAUAGUAAAUUAUUAUUGAAUAAAUAAAUGAAAGUUAUAUUCUUUGAAAGCAGCUUUAAUCUCCCCAAA